AUGUACAUUCCUACAACGUAGCGUUAAUGCACCAGAUCCCAUUAGAACUCCGCAGUUAAGUGUGCUCAGGCUAGAGUAGUACUGGGAUGGGUGAUCGCCCUGGAAGUCCUAGUGUUUUAUAUG
Picea glauca (white spruce) is the source of this 123-nucleotide non-coding RNA. The record is from Rfam. Lineage: Eukaryota; Viridiplantae; Streptophyta; Pinopsida; Pinales; Pinaceae.